RNAcentral lists this long non-coding RNA (381 nucleotides) under Linum usitatissimum (flax). RNAcentral's name for it is "long non-coding RNA (LUSI_LNC003685)". Lineage: Eukaryota; Viridiplantae; Streptophyta; Magnoliopsida; Malpighiales; Linaceae. The record is from RNAcentral.
CUUGAGCGACCCUAAGCAAUGCGCGGAACACAUUAUGCUCGUCGACUUAGGAAGAAAUGACGUGGGGAAGGUUGACCCUUAACACCCUCUUUUCACUCUCCAGGAAACUCUCAUGACUGUAUGUUUAACUUCCACCUUUGCUUUGUGUCUGCAGGUUUCCAAAAGCGGCUCAGUCAAGGUGGAGAAACUCAUGGACAUCGAGAGAUAUUCCCAUGUCAUGCACAUUAGUUCAACGGUAAAGUACCUCACUUGGAUUCAAGCUUCUCCCCACAGCCUUAAUUAAACUCCUGAAGGGCUUUUCCUUUGUCAUCAUCAUCAGGUCACGGGAGAACUGCAGGAGAAUGUUUCAUGCUGGGACGCACUCAGGGCAGCACUUCCAGU